Molecule: ribosomal RNA, 417 nt
Filed under: Heterosigma akashiwo
Lineage: Eukaryota; Raphidophyceae; Chattonellales; Chattonellaceae
Description: partial Bacterial large subunit ribosomal RNA
Rfam family: Bacterial large subunit ribosomal RNA
Source: RNAcentral
CUGACAUGAGUAACGACAAGGGGGGUGAAAACCCCCCCCGCCGGAAGACCAAGGUUUCCUGUCCCAUGCUAAUCAGGACAGGGUUAGUCGGCCCCUAAGGCGAGGCAGAAAUGCGUAGUCGAUGGGAAGCAGGUUAAUAUUCCUGCACCAGUGGGUAGUGACGGAUCUCGUGUGUCGUCAGUCCUUAUCGGAUUGAACUGGCGGCGAAGAGGUCCCUGGAAAUAGCUCCCACAUUAGACCGUACCCCAAACCGACACAGGUGGGCUGGUAGAGCAUACCAAGGCGCUUGAGAGAACUAUGCUGAAGGAACUCGGCAAAUUGCUCCCGUAAGUUCGCGAGAAGGGAGCCUCUGCAUUGGGCAACCAGUGUGGAGGGGCACAGACCAGGGGGUGGCGACUGUUUACUAAAAACACAGGA